GGGCGGUUAGCUCAGUCGGUAGAGCGUCUCGUUUACACCGAGGUUGUCGGGGGUUCGAGUCCCUCACCGCCCA
RNAcentral lists this transfer RNA (73 nucleotides) under Pseudocalidococcus azoricus BACA0444. RNAcentral describes it as "tRNA-Val". It matches the Rfam family "tRNA". Rfam says of the family: Transfer RNA (tRNA) molecules are approximately 80 nucleotides in length. Their secondary structure includes four short double-helical elements and three loops (D, anti-codon, and T loops). Further hydrogen bonds mediate the characteristic L-shaped molecular structure. tRNAs have two regions of fundamental functional importance: the anti-codon, which is responsible for specific mRNA codon recognition, and the 3' end, to which the tRNAs corresponding amino acid is attached (by aminoacyl-tRNA synthetases). tRNAs cope with the degeneracy of the genetic code in two manners: having more than one tRNA (with a specific anti-codon) for a particular amino acid; and 'wobble' base-pairing, i.e. permitting non-standard base-pairing at the 3rd anti-codon position. Lineage: Bacteria; Bacillati; Cyanobacteriota; Cyanophyceae; Acaryochloridales; Thermosynechococcaceae. The record is from RNAcentral.